This 771-nucleotide ribosomal RNA is filed under the name uncultured Vagococcus sp. RNAcentral's name for it is "bacterial SSU rRNA". It matches the Rfam family "Bacterial small subunit ribosomal RNA", at positions 28 to 776 of the family's 1533-position model. The record is from RNAcentral. Lineage: Bacteria; Bacillati; Bacillota; Bacilli; Lactobacillales; Enterococcaceae.
GACGAACGCUGGCGGCGUGCCUAAUACAUGCAAGUCGAACGCACGAAGUUGAAGAGCUUGCUCUUUAACCAAUUGAGUGGCGGACGGGUGAGUAACACGUGGGUAACCUGCCCAUUAGAGGGGGAUAACAUUCGGAAACGGAUGCUAAUACCGCAUAGUUUCAGGGAUCGCAUGAUUCUUGAAGGAAAGGUGGCUUCGGCUACCACUAAUGGAUGGACCCGCGGCGUAUUAGCUAGUUGGUGAGGUAAUGGCUCACCAAGGCAAUGAUACGUAGCCGACCUGAGAGGGUGAUCGGCCACACUGGGACUGAGACACGGCCCAGACUCCUACGGGAGGCAGCAGUAGGGAAUCUUCCGCAAUGGACGAAAGUCUGACGGAGCAACGCCGCGUGAGUGAAGAAGGUUUUCGGAUCGUAAAACUCUGUUGUUAAAGAAGAACAAGGAUGAGAGUAACUGCUCAUCCCCUGACGGUAUUUAACCAGAAAGCCACGGCUAACUACGUGCCAGCAGCCGCGGUAAUACGUAGGUGGCAAGCGUUGUCCGGAUUUAUUGGGCGUAAAGCGAGCGCAGGCGGUUCUUUAAGUCUGAUGUGAAAGCCCCCGGCUCAACCGGGGAGGGUCAUUGGAAACUGGAGAACUUGAGUGCAGAAGAGGAGAGUGGAAUUCCACGUGUAGCGGUGAAAUGCGUAGAUAUGUGGAGGAACACCAGUGGCGAAGGCGACUCUCUGGUCUGUAACUGGCACUGAGGUGCGAAAGCGUGGGGAGCAAACAGG